GAUGAAGAACGUAGCGAAAUGCGAUAAGUAGUGUGAAUUGCAGAAUUCAGUGAAUCAUCGAAUGUUUGAACGCACAUUGCGCCCUUUGGUAUUCCAAAGGGCAUGCCUGUUCGAGCGUCAUUUGUACCCUCAAGCUUUGCUUGGUGUUGGGCGUCUUGUCUCUAGCUUUGCUGGAGACUCGCCUUAAAGUAAUUGGCAGCCGGCCUACUGGUUUCGGAGCGCAGCACAAGUCACACUCUCUAUCAGCAAAGGUCUAGCAUCCAUUAAGCCUUUUUUUCAACUUUUGACCUCGGAUCAGGUAGGGAUACCCGCUGAACUUAAGCAUAUCAAUAAGCGGAGGA
RNAcentral lists this unclassified non-coding RNA (341 nucleotides) under soil metagenome. RNAcentral's name for it is "partial contains 5.8S ribosomal RNA, internal transcribed spacer 2, and large subunit ribosomal RNA". The stretch from base 1 to 120 matches the Rfam family "5.8S ribosomal RNA", at positions 35 to 154 of the family's 154-position model. The record is from RNAcentral.